UGGGGAAUGUUGCACAAUGGGGGAAACCCUGAUGCAGCCAUGCCGCGUGAGUGAAGAAGGCCUUCGGGUUGUAAAGCACUUUCAGUAGGGAGGAAAGGUUGUAAGUUAAUACCUUGCAGCUGUGACGUUACCUACAGAAGAAGGACCGGCUAACUCCGUGCCAGCAGCCGCGGUAAUACGGAGGGUCCAAGCGUUAAUCGGAAUUACUGGGCGUAAAGCGUGCGCAGGCGGUUUGUUAAGCGAGAUGUGAAAGCCCCGGGCUCAACCUGGGAAUUGCAUUUCGAACUGGCAAACUAGAGUCUUGUAGAGGGGGGUAGAAUUCCAGGUGUAGCGGUGAAAUGCGUAGAGAUCUGGAGGAAUACCGGUGGCGAAGGCGGCCCCCUGGACAAAGACUGACGCUCAGGCACGAAAGCGUGGGGAGCAAACAGGAUUAGAUACCCUGGUAGUCCACGCCGUAAACGAUGUCUACUCGGAGUUUGGUGUCUUGAACACUGGGCUCUCAAGCUAACGCAUUAAGUAGACCGCCUGGGGAGUACAGCCGCAGGGUUA
RNAcentral lists this ribosomal RNA (549 nucleotides) under uncultured Pseudomonadota bacterium. Its description in RNAcentral is "bacterial SSU rRNA". It matches the Rfam family "Bacterial small subunit ribosomal RNA", at positions 355 to 896 of the family's 1533-position model. Lineage: Bacteria; Pseudomonadati; Pseudomonadota. The record is from RNAcentral.